This 492-nucleotide ribosomal RNA is filed under the name uncultured bacterium. RNAcentral describes it as "partial 16S ribosomal RNA". It matches the Rfam family "Bacterial small subunit ribosomal RNA", at positions 29 to 507 of the family's 1533-position model. The record is from RNAcentral.
AGUGAACGCUGGCGGUAGGCCUAACACAUGCAAGUCGAACGGCGGCACAGUAAGAGCUUGCUCUUACGGGUGGCGAGUGGCGGACGGGUGAGGAAUACAUCGGAAUCUACUUUUUCGUGGGGGAUAACGUAGGGAAACUUACGCUAAUACCGCAUACGACCUACGGGUGAAAGCAGGGGAUCUUCGGACCUUGCGCGAUUGAAUGAGCCGAUGUCGGAUUAGCUAGUUGGCGGGGUAAAGGCCCACCAAGGCGACGAUCCGUAGCUGGUCUGAGAGGAUGAUCAGACACACUGGAACUGAGCCACGGUCCAGACUCCUACGGGAGGCAGCAGUGGGGAAUAUUGGACAAUGGGCGCAAGCCUGAUCCAUCCAUACCGCGUGGGUGCAGAAGGGCUUCGGGUUGUAAAGCCCUUUUGUUGGGAAAGAAAAGCAGCAGGUUAAUACCCCGCUGUUCUGACGGUACCCAAAGAAUAAGCACCGGCUAACUUCGUG